Molecule: long non-coding RNA, 826 nt
Organism: Ochotona curzoniae (black-lipped pika)
Lineage: Eukaryota; Metazoa; Chordata; Mammalia; Lagomorpha; Ochotonidae
Exons: 2
Source: RefSeq, a predicted model, not a curated record
GUCACCCCGUUGGUCUCCAUGUCGGUGAGGUUUCCUCUCAGGUUCUGCUCCUCCUCGAAGGCCUUGAACAGGGAGUUGAAGUUGCCGGCUCCGAAUCCCUGCGGCGGCAGACGGGGUCGUGAGCCGAGAAGCCCAGCCGGGGCGUGCCGGGGUGGGGAGGGAGGCCAGCAGGGGCCCCUUCGGGCGCGAGGGGGACACGUCGUACCUGGUGGUUGUGGCGCUGGAUGACUUCCAGGAAGAGCGUGGGCCGGUCUUGCAUGGGCUUGGUGAAGAUCUGCAGGAGGUAGCCUUUCUCGUCGUAGUCCACCAGGAUCUUCAGCUCCUGAGGGGGUGGGCGGGAGACACCGGGCUCCGCUGGAGGCUGGGAGGAGCCCGGAGGACCCGUCCUCCUAGCCUGACUGGAAAAUCCAGCUCCAGACACGUCCGCCUGAGUCCUCAGGUCGACCCCGCUCCUCCCACCCCAGCCCGGUGGCUCCCCCACCUGCUGGCAGUAGGCCGGGCUGGGCCUCACCUCCAGGACAUCGAUGCUCUCCUGGACACGGAUCUUGGCCGACUUGAGGUUCUCCCGCAGCUGCUUGUAGAGCCCGCACCUCAUCCUCCCUGCUCUCUUCUCCCGGCCAGGGAAGGCCGCACCUGAAUCUGCGACUUCUUCCGGCCAGGCGCUGGCUCGUUGAUGGGCAUUUUGAUGGACUCCUCAUAGUUGGCCACCACGAUGGAACGCAGAGAGCUGUACUCCGUGUGCACCUGUGUGUCGUCCACAGACCAGAAGCGGUGGAACUGCAGGUUCUUGAGGUACCUGCACGGUGGCCAGCAGGAUGUGCCUGCU